CCUACGGGAGGCAGCAGUGGGGAAUAUUGCACAAUGGGCGCAAGCCUGAUGCAGCAACGCCGCGUGAGGGAUGAAGGCCUUCGGGUCGUAAACCUCUUUUAGCAGGGAAGAAGCGAAAGUGACGGUACCUGCAGAAAAAGCACCGGCUAACUACGUGCCAGCAGCCGCGGUAAUACGUAGGGUGCAAGCGUUGUCCGGAAUUAUUGGGCGUAAAGAGCUCGUAGGCGGUUUGUCACGUCUGCUGUGAAAAUCCAAGGCUCAACCUUGGACUUGCAGUGGGUACGGGCAGGCUAGAGUGCGGUAGGGGAGAUGGGAAUUCCUGGUGUAGCGGUGGAAUGCGCAGAUAUCAGGAGGAACACCAAUGGCGAAGGCACAUCUCUGGGCCGUAACUGACGCUGAGGAGCGAAAGCGUGGGGAGCAAACAGGAUUAGAUACCCUGGUAGUCCACGCCGUAAACGGUGGGUGCUAGCUGUGGGUCACAUUCCACGUGAUCCGUAACGAAGUUAACACAUUAAGCACCCCGCCUGGGGAGUACGGCCGCAAGGCUAAAACUCAAAGGAAUUGACGG
RNAcentral lists this ribosomal RNA (568 nucleotides) under uncultured Actinomycetes bacterium. RNAcentral describes it as "bacterial SSU rRNA". It matches the Rfam family "Bacterial small subunit ribosomal RNA", at positions 338 to 916 of the family's 1533-position model. The record is from RNAcentral. Lineage: Bacteria; Bacillati; Actinomycetota; Actinomycetes.